UGCUCCUAGUACGAGAGGACCGGAGUGGACGCAUCACUGGUGUUCGGGUUGUCAUGCCAAUGGCACUGCCCGGUAGCUAAAUGCGGAAGAGAUAAGUGCUGAAAGCAUCUAAGCACGAAACUUGCCCCGAGAUGAGUUCUCCCUGAGACUUUAAGUCUCCUGAAGGAACGUUGAAGACGACGACGUUGAUAGGCCGGGUGUGUAAGCGCAGCGAUGCGUUGAGCUAACCGGUACUAAUGAACCGUGAGGCUUAACCUUACAACGCCGAAGCUGUU
Molecule: ribosomal RNA, 275 nt
Filed under: Klebsiella variicola
Lineage: Bacteria; Pseudomonadati; Pseudomonadota; Gammaproteobacteria; Enterobacterales; Enterobacteriaceae
Description: partial 23S ribosomal RNA
Rfam family: Bacterial large subunit ribosomal RNA
Source: RNAcentral